AUACGUAGGCGGUGAGCGUUGUCCGGAAUUAUUGGGCGUAAAGAGCAUGUAGGCGGCUUAAUAAGUCGAGCGUGAAAAUGCGGGGCUCAACCCCGUAUGGCGCUGGAAACUGUUAGGCUUGAGUGCAGGAGAGGAAAGGGGAAUUCCCAGUGUAGCGGGGAAAUGCGUAGAUAUUGGGAGGAACACCAGUGGCGAAGGCGCCUUUCUGGACUGUGUCUGACGCUGAGAUGCGAAAGCCAGGGUAGCGAACGGGAUUAGAUACCCCGGUAGUCCUGGCCGUAAACGAUGGGUACUAGGUGUAGGAGGUAUCGACCCCUUCUGUGCCGGAGUUAACGCAAUAAGUACCCCGCCUGGGGAGUACGGCCGCAAGGUUGAAACUCAAAUGAAUUGACGGGG
Molecule: ribosomal RNA, 396 nt
Filed under: uncultured bacterium
Lineage: Bacteria
Description: partial 16S ribosomal RNA
Rfam family: Bacterial small subunit ribosomal RNA
Source: RNAcentral